GUAUCAGCCACUUUCAAUCCAGGAAGUGAACAGUCAGUCGAGACAUGGAGGCACACUUUCAACCAGAGAAUUAAACUAAACUAGGCUGCUGUUUUCACUCUUAUUAACUAAACAAGUUCCAGAUUAAAAGGCCAUGGAUGUAAAGUUUACUGCCCUGGCUUACUGCCAUCUGGCCCUUUUGUUCAGUGUGGCCCAAACAGAAAAUGGGACUAGCACUCCUCAACCAACCUUUAGCUUAACAACCCUUACGACACUAACUCAGUCUGACUCUACUUCACCAAUCUCAAAUUUGACUGAGGAGACAACACUAUAUACCAGCACACAGUUGGAUAACAAAACUUUCGUUAGCACCACUGCGGCAACAACCGAGAGGACAAGUCACCACCAGACUUCUCAGUCAGCAACCACCUUGACUCCUCUAACAAAUAGUACUCUGAGGACUACGAGCUCUAGCACUCAAAUGUCAACAUUUACUGCACAAACAACGGCAGCAAUCCAGACCACAGUAGAUAACUCAAGUACACCAAGUACUCCAGUAAUUACAACUGAAAAUGCAACUCAUACUACCAUGAACAGAACCAGACAAGAUGUGGGCCUCAAUGUCUCUGAAAGGAAUAUGACUAUUGUCUUCAGCACUGUACUUGGAGCAUUUGCUGUGUUGUUGUUUUUUCUUAUGUUUCACAAAUGCAAACAGAAAAUACAGUACUUGCACCAACCUCUCAAUAAUGCACAAUACACAGAUACAUUUGUGGCAGAUGAUGACACACUCGUUAUUUCUGGAGGACUUUAUGAUGGCCAUCCAAUCUACGACAAUGUACCAACAGCUCCCGCAGACCAGUCUCAAUUCCACCUUGAGUUUCUCCAUUAAAGACACAGAAUUUCUAUAGUCUGAAAUCUACAGUUUAGGAGUGGAUAGAACCAAUGUACUAAACUAAUGUAACCAAUAUACUUUCAAGACUGAAAUAUAACUCCUAUGAUGGUCUUUAUAAGAGAAAAGUGGUCCUUAGUAAAGGAAAAUGAGAAUAGGUAGGACAUGCAAACAAGUACAAAACUGAUUUUUGAGAACAUUGCUUUUACUUGUACAACACCAGAAUACAUAAAUAUAUUAACAGAGUAACUUGUAACAACUAGAAAUUGUCAAAGAUCAGCAACAUAACCUUGUGAUAGAACAUAUUAGAUUUCAUGUUAACAUUAAAGAUGAGUUAUUCCAAAGAUUAGCACAACAGCAAAGUAAUAAAUAACACAUUGACUCUAGUAGGUAAAUUUAAUCCUAAACACCCAUAAAUAAACUUACUAAAAGCUGGCAUCUUAACACCAAAACCUUCUUCUCAUUGACACUAUGUUUUAGUUGAACCAUAGAAACAUAUUCAAUUCAUGUUUUUGUGUUAUUUUUAGUCUAUUUGUUAUUCAGUCAAUCGUGUAUAAUUUAUUCAUUCUCAAUAGAACUGUAUUUCAAGUCACCCACCUCUACCAAUAUUGUUAUUACUGCUAAUCUGACCUAACAGCCAAACUUAGGCAAAAAUCUUCUCAUUGGUCUUCUUCUUUUUUUUGUCACAGCCAGUAACAGCUGUCCAACCAGCAUCUCUCAUUCUUUUCAUUGCGGCCAGCUUUAAGGAGUUUCCUGGUGAUUUAUGAAUGAGUGGGCUCUGAUUCUGUAAAAAUAACACACACAUACACACACAUAGGGAUUUUUAAAAAUCAAAGUAAGUAUAUUAUAUGCCACUUUGUUGGAUCAUAAAGGCACAUUACCUUUUUGAGAAUGUGGAGUUUACAUUGCGAAUCUGAACUUUUACGUGCAGGUACAUUUGUAAAGGUCUAUCAACACAAGAAACAAAAGAAUACACAUUAAUCUGUCCUAGCGAAUUUGCAGAAAUGGUAAAAUCACAUUCACAUAACCUGCAAGGUUUAUGGCAUUAUUUUUUUUUAAAUAUUAACAAGCCCCCACCCCCCAACCCAAAAAAACAAAAACAAAAAAACAUUGCUUACCAAGAGAUCAUUUUGAUCUGAGCUGUCAGACUUGGGGUCGAGUUCAAUGGCGCUCUUUCCCCACUGUGCUGACUUUUCAGAAGGGGGAGUCCUUAUUCUGUAGGACUAUAGGGGAGUAAAUGUCAGUGAAUAUAUUCAUAUUUUUUCAAUUUUGGAAAAUGUCAGAAUAUAUUACUUUGAUCUUUGUUGUUCCGGCAGUAUGGUUUGUAAGACUUCUUGGGGUUUUCAUGUCUUCACUGUUGAUGCACUAAAAUUCAAAGUCAGUGCAAGUCUUAUAAUCAUUUAUCAUAAAACUUAAAGUAAAUAAAAGCAUAUCAAUACAUGAAUUAUGUUAUAAUUUAUUCUGUCACUAUAGCCAUUUUUAUAUAUCUACUUUAUGAAUAGGUUAAAUUGCAGUCUACCUUGGAUUUUGGUGUUCCACAUGAUGCUCUGAUAAAUUCAGUGGCAGAUUCCUUAACAACAAUUCAAACAAAGUUGCUUUAGAAAAAGGCUGUGGUAAUAAGGUUACAUUGUACUGCUUUACAUUCACACGCAAAGUUUUGCGGUCGUUUCCUACAGCUAUAGGCAAUUAUUAGCAGAGUCUUCCAUGUGAACUGACUAAGAGUAUCUGGCGCCAGUAUUCUCAGGCCCUAUAAAAGCUGCUAGCUUACUAAUCUCUGAGAGAUGCUCUCCAUGAAUUUAAAUGUUUUCUCCAAUGAGUAACACCCAUGCUCAUAUUCACACUGCUAUUCUUGUUAAUUAAUGGUUUCUAAAUAAAUCAACUCUGGUGCAUUUUUAGUUCCCAUGGCACAUUUGAGACUCUCAUUCGAACAUAUGAAUAUAUACCUUUUUUUACUCAUACACAACAAAUACAUUUAAAAUCCCUUUUCUUUCUCUAAAUAAAAUCCAGGUGAAUAAUAAACAUUAUGAAUAGCUAUAGGGCUACAAACUGAAAGGCUAAAACGCCAUGUCCACCAAAAAAACCAAACCAAAAAAUGGCAAUUAAAAUCUUCGCAAAUAUUAUGGAAAAAUAAUAAAUGAAUCUAUUUGUCCGAUUUGAUCCACCAAUCCCUUAAAACCAAAUAUUGUCUGAUCCUGACUCAGCUGGAUGUUGUUCUGUUUUUGUCUUUACCUAUAGCCUGGUACCAUGGAUUAUUUUUCUAAUAAAUACCAGUUCAGCAAAUUCAAUUGGGGUUGUAUUUAUUUUUCAUAAUACCCAAAACCAAGGAUGUACUAUAUCUGAAGUAGAAAAGGCUAUUUUGAGAAAUCUGUAGUUAUAAAAACCUUAAUCAUCUGAUUUUCUAAGCUUAUCUUAAACAAAAAUGUCUGAAACAUUAAUCUGUUGAAAACAUUUUGGUCGAUAAAACUCACAUCUGUUGUACGAGUGGCCAAACUCUGACCAUCUUUGCUGUAGGAGGAAGUUUUCUUGGCCUUGAAGAAGUCAAAUGUGUGACUCUUUGAAGAGUUCUCUUUUGGAACCUCUGAACUUUUCCUUUGUUUAUAGUUUGAGGCAGCUACCUGUAGUAGUACACAUACAAUUUUGGGUCAACUAAAAGUAAUGACAAAGAAUGCCAUCUAGUGGCAGCCUAUGAGCUGCAUGCACUGUACCUGUUUGUCGCUCCCUUGUGACAGCAGAGUGCUUUUCACAACAGACAUUUCCUGCUU
Neolamprologus brichardi is the source of this 3630-nucleotide non-coding RNA. NCBI's taxonomy places the organism in Eukaryota, Metazoa, Chordata, Actinopteri, Cichliformes, Cichlidae. The record is from RefSeq and is a predicted model, not a curated record.